RNAcentral lists this ribosomal RNA (1144 nucleotides) under Candidatus Annandia adelgestsuga. Its description in RNAcentral is "bacterial SSU rRNA". It matches the Rfam family "Bacterial small subunit ribosomal RNA", at positions 345 to 1474 of the family's 1533-position model. The record is from RNAcentral. Lineage: Bacteria; Pseudomonadati; Pseudomonadota; Gammaproteobacteria; Enterobacterales; Enterobacteriaceae.
AAGGCAGCAGUGGGGAAUAUUGCACAAUGGGCGCAAGCCUGAUGCAGCUAUGUCGCGUGUAUGAAGAAGACCUUAGGGUUGUAAAGUACUUUCAAUAGCAUAAGAAGGUAAUGAAACUAAUAAUUUUGUUAUCAGACGUUAGCUAUAAAAGAAGCACCGGCUAACUCCGUGCCAGCAGCCGCGGUAAUACGGAGGGUGCUAGCGUUAAUCGGAAUUACUGGGCGUAAAGAGCACUUAGGUGGUUUAUUAAGUCAAGUGUGAAAUCCCUAGACUUAAUCUAGGAACUGCAUUUGAAACUAAUAGACUAGAGUUUCGUAGAGGGAGGUAGAAUUCUAGGUGUAGCGGUGAAAUGCAUAGAUAUCUAGAGGAAUAUCAGUGGCGAAGGCGACCUCCUGGACGAUAACUGACGCUAAAAUGCGAAAGCAUGGGUAGCAAACAGGAUUAGAUACCCUGGUAGUCCAUGCUGUAAACGAUGUCGACUAAGAAGUUGAAAGCUUUGACUUAUAAUUUCUGUAGCUAACGCGUUAAGUCGACCGCCUGGGGAGUACGGCCGCAAGGCUAAAACUCAAAUGAAUUGACGGGGGCCUGCACAAGCGGUGGAGCAUGUGGUUUAAUUCGAUGCAACGCGUAAAACCUUACCUGGUCUUGACAUCCACAGAAUUUUAUAGAAAUAUAAAAGUGCAAUUUGAACUGUGAGACAGGUGCUGCAUGGCUGUCGUCAGCUCGUGUUGUGAAAUGUUGGGUUAAGUCCCGCAACGAGCGCAACCCUUGUUUUUUGUUACCAUCAGAUAAAGCUGGGGACUCAAAAGAAACUGCCAGUUAUAAACUGGAGGAAGGUGGGGACGACGUCAAGUCAUCAUGGCCCUUACGACCAGGGCUACACACGUGCUACAAUGGCGUAUACAAAGAGAUGCAAUAUUGUAAAAUAAAGCUAAUCUAUAAAAUACGUCUUAGUUCGGACUGGAGUCUGCAACUCGACUCCACGAAGUCGGAAUCGCUAGUAAUCGUGGAUCAGCAUGCCACGGUGAAUAUGUUUCCAGGCCUUGUACACACCGCCCGUCACACCAUGGAAGUGGGUUGCAAAAGAAGUAGAUUAAUUUAACCUUCUUAACAAGAAAAUAGUUUACCACUUUGUGAUUCAUGA